Molecule: long non-coding RNA, 193 nt
Filed under: Monodelphis domestica (gray short-tailed opossum)
Lineage: Eukaryota; Metazoa; Chordata; Mammalia; Didelphimorphia; Didelphidae
Description: lncRNA (ENSMODG00000037023.1)
Source: RNAcentral
UGGAUUCCCUGGGACAAAUGUAUGGGAGGGAAUGAAGGAGAGUUCUACAAAACAAGCAGAGUUUUGCAGGCUUCUUCCCUCCCGAUCUGUCUGCCAUUUUUCUCUGAGGGCUGCUUUCAGAAGUCAGACUUCCCUGUAAAGGAGAGACUGGGCUGUUAUUGCUUCUUAAUCCUUCCCGGGAAAACUUAGAAGU